This is a long non-coding RNA of Mobula hypostoma (lesser devil ray), 10115 nucleotides long. RefSeq lists it as uncharacterized. The record is from RefSeq and is a predicted model, not a curated record. The transcript is spliced from 3 exons. NCBI's taxonomy places the organism in Eukaryota, Metazoa, Chordata, Chondrichthyes, Myliobatiformes, Myliobatidae.
GAGGAAUUACUGGAAGUUGGGGAAUUCAGUGUUCAUACCAAGGGGCCUGGAGACUACCUAGAUGGUAUAUGAGGUGUUGCUCUUUCAACCCGAGUUUAGCCUCAUCAUGGCCGUAGAGGAGGCCAUUUAUGGACAUAUCCGAAUGGGAGUGUGAAGCAAAGUUGAAGUGGGUGGCAACCGGGAGAUCCUGUCUGUUGUGGCAGACAGAGUGGAGGUGCUUGACUUUUAUCGAAUCGGGGAGAAGAGGUGCAGAGAGACUUGAGUCCUCAUUCAAGAUUCCCAGAAAGUUAAUUUACAGGUUGAGCCUUUUAAAGAAGGCAAAUACAAUGUUGGCAUUUAUUUCAAGGGGAAUAGAAUAUAUAAACAAGGAGAUGAUGCUGAGGCUUUAUAAGACACUAGUUAGGCUGCACUUGGAGUAUUAACAACAGAUUUGGCCCCAUAUCUCAGAGGAUGUGUUGUCAUUGGAGAAAGUCUAGAGGAAGUUCAUGAGGAUGAUUCUGGGAAUGAAGGUGUUAACAUGGAGAGCAUUUGGCAGCUUUGGGAAUCUCAUUGAAACCUACUGAAUGUUGAAAGGACUAGAUAGAAGGGUGUGGAGAGGAUGUUUCCUAUGAUGGGGUUAUCCAAAACUAGAGGGCACAGCCUCACAAUUGAAAGAUGACCUUUUUAGAAUGGAGGCAAGGAGGAAUUUUUUUUUACCCAGUGGAGAAUCUGUGGAAUGCUUUGCCACAGACUGGGGUGGAAGCCAGCUCCGUGGAUGUAUUUAAUUUCCUUGCUUUGACCAUCAAAACAUCCAAAGCAUCAAAGACCCUUCAUGAUUUUCUAUAGGCCUUAAUGGCCUAUGAUUUCAGUCUGAGUCCAAUGUGAGAGCACUUUUUAGGAAUGUGAACUCUCAGAAAACAUCCAGCCCAUAUAUGGUACCUGUACCUGGCCAAGUACUAAAGAGGCAUGCUGAUCAACUGGCCAGAGCGUUCACUGACAUAUUUAACUUCUCACUUCAGCAGUCCGAGGUACUUCUGCUUCAAGCAGGUUUCAAUUAUGCCAUUGCCCAGGUAGAACGUGAUAACCUGACUCAAUGACCAUCAUUCAGCAGUGUUUUGCAUUCACUGUGGCCUGCUUUGAAAACCUGGUGAUGAAACAUACGAACUGCUGCUUAACAACAAGUUGGAUCUACUCCAAUUUGCCUACUGUCACAACAGGUCCACUGGAGAUGGAAUUUCAUUGGCUCUUCACUCAGAUAUGGAACAUGUAUACGACUUUGCUGUCCACAUCUAUCAACUCAUCAACUACAGCUCGGCAUUCAAUGUUAUCAUCCCUUCAAAACUAAUCAAUAAGCUUCAAGACCAAGGCCUUAAUAUCUUGUGAAAUUUGAUCCCUAAUUUCCUAACUUGGUAACCCCAGUCAGUUCAGAUUGGCAAAAACAUAACUUUCACUAUCUCCAUCAGCACCGGUGCACUGUAGGGCUGUGUGCUAAACUCCCUGCUCUACUUAUGACUGUGAGGCCAAGUACAGCUCCAAGACCAUAUUCACAUUUGUUGAUGACACCAGGAUCAUUGGCUAAAUUAGCAUAUGAUAGAGAUUGAAAAUCUGGUUGUGGUGCCACAACAAUAACUUUUCAAUGUCAGCAAGACCAAGGAGCUGAUUUUUGACUUCUGGAGGAGGAAACCAGAGGUCAGAAUCAUUAUCACUGUCAUGUUCUGUGAAAUUUGUUGGCAGCAGCAGUUCAAUGCAAUACAUAAUAUAGAAGAAAGAAUAAAUGUAAUAAUAAAUCUAUUACAGUAUACUUGAAUAGAUUAAAAAUUGUGCAAAAAUCAAAAAAUAUAUAAAAAGUGAGAUCGGGUUCAAUGAAUGCUGUUUCUGAAUUGCUGAGUGUGUGCCUUCAGGCUUCUGUAUCUCCUACCUGAUGGUAACAGUGAGGAAAAGGACAUUCCCUGGCUGCUGGAGGUCCUUAAUGGACACUGCCUUUCUGAGACACUACUCCUUGAAGAUGUCCUGGGUACUUUGUAGGCUAGUACAUAAGAUGGAGCUGACUAAAUUUACAACUUUCUGCAGCUGCAUUUAGUUCUGUGCAGUAGUCCCUCCAUACCAGACAGUGAUGCAGCCUGUCAGGCUGCUCUCCAUGGUACAACUAUAGAAGUUUGAGUGUAUUGGUUGACAUGCCAAAUCUCCAACUCGUAAUUAAGUAUAGUCACUGUCUUGCCUUUUUAACUGCAGAGAUAUGUUGGGGCCAGGUUAGAUCCUCAGAUCACCCAGGAACUUGAAGCUGCUCACUCUCUCCACUUCUGACCCCUCUGAAGAUUGUUAGGUGUUCCUUCAUCUUGCUCUUCCUAAAGUCCACAAUCAGUUCUUUUGUCUUACUGACAUUGAGUGCCAGGUUGUUGCUAUUACACCACUCCACUGGUUGGCAUAUCUCACUUCUGUAUGCCCUCUCGUUGCCACCUGAGAUUCUACCAACAAUGGUUGUAUCAUCAGCAAAUUUAUAGAUGGUAUUGAGCUAUACCUAGUCAUACUUAUGUGUAUAUAGAGAGAAGAGCAGUGGGCUAAGCACACACCCCUAGGGUGCACCAAUGUUGAUCAUUAGCAAGGAGAUGUCACCAAUCCUCACAGAUUGAGGUUUUCCAGUGAGGAAGUUGAGGAUCUAAUUGCAGAGGGAGGUACGGAGGCCCAGGUUCGUCAAUUUCUCAGUCAGGAUUUUGGGAAUGAUGGUAUUAAAUGCUGAGCUAUAAUUGAUGAACAGCAUCUUGACAUAGAUGUUUGUGUUGUCCAGAUCGUCUAAAGCCAGGUGAAGAGCCAUUGAGAUUUCAUCUGCUGUUGACCUAUUGUGCUGAUAGGCAAAUUGCAAUGGUCCAGGUCCUUGCUGAGGCAGGAGUUCAGUCAAGUCAUGACCAACCUCAAAGCAUUCUGAACUAGUCCUCAUUUAGAGAGGAUCAGCAACUUUAAAUUUCUCUGUUAACAUCUCAGGAUCUAUCCUGGGCCUAGCAAGUAAGUGUCAUUACGAAGAAACGAUGGCAGCACUUCUACUUAAGAGUUUGUGAAAAUUUGGCAUAACAUCUAACUGACAAACUUCUGCAGAUGCACAGUAGAGAGUAUAUUGACUGGUUACAUCAUUGCCUGGUAUGGAAACAGCAAAGCCUUUGAACAGAAACGCUUACAGAAGUAGUGGGUAUGGCAGAGUCCAUGGGUAAAGCCCAUCCCUGCAUUGAGCACAUUUAUAUGGAGCACUGUCACAGGAAAACAGCAUCCAUCAAGGACCCCCACCAUUCAGGCCAUGCUCUUUUUGCCACUGCCAUCAGGAAGCAGGUACAAGAGCCUCAGGACUCGCACCGUUAAGUUCAGGAACAGUUAUUACCCCUCAACUUUCAGGCUCUUGAACCAGAGGGACAACUUCAUUCAACUUCAUUUGCCCCAUCACUGAACUGUUCCUACGAUGGAUGUCCUUUCAAGAACUUGUCUCAUGUUCUCUACUGCUUAUUUAUUAUUAAUACUUUUUUCUUGUGUUUUGUGCACUGUCCUGUUGGGUGUGGGGUUUCUUGAAUUUACUAUAUACGCCCACAAGAAAACUAAUCUUGGAGAUGUGUACUUUGAUCAUUUAUUUUGAAUGUUGCUAUGGAGAAGUGGGGUGUAGAAAAAUAAAGAAUAGAAAAAUGACUGAAGAGUGGGAAUGGAUCUUUUGUGCUGAUUUAAAGUGGUCACUAGUACAGCAAACAGGAAAUUAAAUGGUAUGUAUUUGGGCAAGAGUGCAGGGAUGAGAUCUUGGCAGUAUUUUUUAGAUUAUGAGAACACUCAGUCCUCUUUUAUUGUCAUUUAGAAAUGCAUAUAUGCGUUAAGAAAUGAUGCAGUGUUUCUCUGGAGUGAUAUCACAGAAGACAAGACAGACCAAAGACUAACACUGACAGAACCACGUACAGGUUUCCCCCGCCAUCUGAAGGUAGAGCGUUCCUAUGAAAUGGUUCGUAAGCUGAAAGGUCAUAAAGUGAAGAAGCAAUUACCAUUUAUUUAUAUGGGAAAAUUUUGUGAGCGUUCGUAGACCCAAAAAUAACCUACCAAAUCAUGCCAAGCAACACACAAAACCUAAAAUAAUAGUAACAUAUAGUAAAAGCAGGAAUGAUAUGAUAAAUACACAGCCUAUAUAAAGUAGAAAUACUUCUCUACAAUGAUUGCCUGCACAGAUCUCCGUAGCGAAAAUCUCACGCAAGUGCUGUUGGCAUAAGCGCGCUCUCCAGUACCCUUUAAACUAUGAAGCUGCCAAAUCUACCAAAUAACAUGUAAAAAUACACAGCCUAUAUAAAGUAGAAAUUAUGUAUGUAUAGUGCAGUAUCACUUACCGGAAUUGGGAAAACAGCGCCGAGCACACUGAUGGUGUGUUAGACUGAGUCGUCGCAGGCUGGGUGGUGCAGUGGCAUUGCCUGAUUUGGGCCAACAAUUACGUGCUAGGUGGCACCUAAUUAAUUAGCAUGUUUAUUUCAGCUUUUUUCUUAAAAGAUGUGCUGUGUGCUUCCUGGCUACUGCUGCGUUCUUCAUGAAUCGCAGUAUCUGUCCGGGGCCUGGGUGUUGGUGUGGUGGGACACAAGGGUGUCAUCUCAUCGUCGAUCAGGGCAGGCAACUCAUCUUCUCCUAUGACUACUGGCCUCUAUGUUGAAGGUCGAGGUUCGUCGUUUGCUGUGGCUGAUGUGGAAGGCUUACUUGACUGCUGAGCCUCGCGCAUUUUUCUAUCACAGUUGUUUGUAAGCACUCAAACCAUCCUGCAAAUAUCCCCUAAACCUACGUACCCUUUCAAAAUUAAAGUCGUACUUUAUCACUGCAGCGAAAAUCUCAUGCAGUUGCUUCACUUUCUACAUUCGGUUUCAAUUGUUAUCCUUUCCUCUUCCGAUUGCAUUAGCUCUUCAUCUAUCAGUUCUUGGUCAUGGGAUGCCAAAACCUCUUCAACAUCUUCGUCAACUUCCACAAGCCAAACUCACUUUGUCCUUCGUUCACCACGAUUGAAACGCUUAAUUAUGUCUAGUUUUACGCUACGUGUAACACCCUUACUCUUUCAGGCUUUUCUGACACCUUAGAACUCAUCUUGCUAAUGACUGCUCAAUGCAACGUGUUAAAGCAAUGCCGUUCCGAAUCCAGGGGAGAGUGGCUGCUCGGGUGCACGCUGAUUUUUUUUUUUUAUUGCGUGCUGCCUUUCUUCGUAACAGUGAAAAUACCUAAAAGCGAAAACAGGGUACUAAUGUAGGUCUUUCGUAACAGUGAAGUUUCGUAAAGCGAACGUUCAAAAAGUGGGGGACACCUGUAAUUAUACAGCAGUGCAAAGCAAUACCACAAUUUGAUGAACAGACCAUGGGUACAGUUUGUUUUUUUUUAUAUAAAGUCCAGAGUCCAUCGACUCUGGAGUCCUCGAUAGCAGGCGCCAAAAGGAAGAAACUCCCUGCCAUAAACCUCCAGGCACCAUCAACUUGCCAAUACCUUGGAAGCAACCAACACUGAGUCCAUUCGUCCGAAAACUCCGAGCUUCUGACCAGCCUCUCCAAUACAGCUUCCCGAGUGCCAUCCUCUGCCGAGCACCUUCGACCUCUCCCCAGCCGCUGAAACACACAAAGCCGAGGAUUUCGGGGCCUUCAGCUCCGGAGAUUCUGGUUACCACACAGUAGUAACAGCAGCAGCGAAGUGGGAAUUUCAGCCUCUUUAAUGGAGGAACAAUUAUUCUUUGAUUGUGUAGUUUAGAUAUAAUUUUGAAUGAAGGGUAACAAAGUUUAGUAGAUAAAGGCCAGCUUGUACUAGUUUAGUAUUUUGGGUACAAUCUCAUUGAAAUGCACAAGAUUCUGAAAGAGCAACUGUUAAGCCAUGACCCUGUUGAGUGGCAGUGAAGACACUUGCAUCCAAGAGAAUUUUUUAAAUCAUUAUAGAUAGUCCAACCAGAAGAGGUUCCAUAUUGGACCUAGUAUUCAAACAUGAACCUAGCCAGUUGAUGUUUCAGUGGGGGAGCAUUUAGGAAGUAGUGACCAUACUUAAGAUGGCUAUGAAUAAGUAUAGAUCUUGCCAGAGUAUUGAAUUAGGAUGGGCAAAUUAGAAGAAUAUUAGCAACUAAGAAGUAAUUGGAAAGAGCUUUUUCUGUUCCACAUCUUGCAUGUGGGUGAUAUUUAAAGAUCUCUGCACAGAAUACAGGACAGUGAGGAAGGGCAGAGUUAGUCAAGUUUAUGGUCAUGCACAGGUGUGAUGGAAAACUAACUUGCAGCAGCAUCAGACACAGCCUCGUAUGCAGCAUUCACAGUGAAAACAAAUCAAGCCUAAAUUAAUCACAAACAAGAAAAUCUGCAGAUGCUGGAAAUCCAAGCAGGUUAAAAGUUGGAGGAACUCAGCAGGCCAGGCAGCAUCUAUGGAAAAGAGUACAGUCAAUGUUUCAGGAGUGGGUCUUGUCUGAAUGUUGACUGAUCUUUUUCCAUAGAUGCUACCUGGCCUGCUGAGUUCCUCCAGCAUUUUGUGUGUUGCAAGUCUAAAUUAAGCAAUUCUUACUUGGGGGGGGGGGCAGUGCUGGACACACAGAAUAAAAGGCUAUUUUAGUGGUCCAUGUUGCUAAUUUCUGGUUUAGGAAUGAAAUGGUUGAAGGAAGUAUUUGUGGUGUGGAACUUGGAGCUUCUGUACAUACUGCCUAAUAGUAGUCAUAAAAAGAUGCCCUGGUAAGAGAAUCUUGUAUGUUAAGAAAAGGAAAGUGUUCUGUAAGUUCUGAUCCCUUGGGUCGCGGUUGUAGAGCAAUACAGCACAGAUAAAGGCCCUUUGGUACUACAAGUCUAUGCUAGCCACAGUGCCAACCCUGCUAGUUAAAGCUUCCUGUGUUCUGCCCAUAUCCCUCUAAACCCUGACUCUCCAUAUACCUAUCAGCUGCUUAAGCAAUACUAUUGUACCUGUCCUAGCCACUUUCUUUGGCAGUGUAUUCAAUGUAUUCACCACCCUCUUCAGGAAGUAGCUGGGGAGGGGGCAUUGCCCCUUUUCCCACCAAAGUUCUUUGUAAACCUUACCCCUAACCUUAAAUCUAUACAUCCUUGUUUUGGAUUCCCCUACUGUGGGGAAAGGGCUUGCUGUCCACUUUAUCUAGGUAUUGCAUAACAUUAACGGCACAGGCCACCUUUUAUUAAAGGGAGGAUUUAGUAUGGAUAAAGCAGUGGCUGACUGGUAGGAGGCAAAGAAUAGGAAUAAAGGAGGCCUUUUCUGGUUGGCUGCCGGUGACUAGUGGUGUUCCACAGUUCUCUGUUUUGGAACCAAUUCUCUUUACAUUAUAUGUUAAUGAUUUGGAUGAUGGAUUUGAUGGCUUUGUUGCUAAGUUUGCAGAUGACACCAAGAUAGGUGGAGGGGCUGGUAGUUUUGUGGAAGUAGAGGGGCUACAGAAGGAAUUAGACAGAUUAGGAGAAUCGGAAAAGAAAUGGCAGAUAGAAUACAGUGUCGGUAGUGUAUGGUCAUUCACUUUGGUACAAGAAAUGAAAGGGUUGACUGUUUUCUAAAUGGAGAGAAAAUACAAACUGAUGUGCAAAGGGACUGGAGUCCUUGUAACAUGAAUCCCUAAAGGCUUGCAGGUUGAGUCUGUGAGAUAGACAAAUGAAUAACUAAAAUAUAAAAACAAGGAUGUAAUGUUAAGACUUUAUAAACACUGGUGAGGCCUCACUUGGAGUAUUGUAAGCAGUUUUGGGCCCCUUAUCCUAGAAGGGAUGUGCUGGAACUGGAAAGGGUUCAAAGGAGGUUCACAGAAAUGAUUUCAGGUUUGAACAGCUUGUCAUAUGAAGUGUUUGGCUCUGAGCCUGUACUCACUGAAAUUCAGAAAAAUGAAGGGUGACCUAAUUGAAAUGUAUUGAGGUGAAAGGCUUUGAUAGAGUAGAAGUGGAGAAGAUGUUUCCUAAGGUGGGAGAGUCUCAAACCAGAGGACACAGCCUCAGAAUAGAGGGGUGUCAUAUUAGAACAGAGGUGAGGGAUUUCUUUGGACAGUGGUGAAUCUGAAAUUUUUUGCCAUGGUGAGCUGUAGAGGCCAAGUCUGUAUGCAUCAUUAAGGUAGAGGUUGAUAGAUUCUUAAUUGGUCAGGACAUAAAGGGAUACAGGGAGAGGGCAUGAUAUUGGGACUGAGAAGGAAAGUGAUGAAGUGGCAGAGCAGACUCUGGGCCAAAUGGCCUAACUCUGUUCCUGUGUGUUGUAGUCCUGUGGUCUUAAAUAGUUUUACAAAGUUGCCCAUCCUUCGACAUUUUGAAGAAUAAAGAUCUAACCUCACCAAUCUCUCCCUAUAAUUUCAUCCCUCUGGUCCUGGCAACAUCCUCAAAUCUUUUCUGUGCUCUUUCCCAUUUAACCAUGUCUUUCGUACAAUGGGGUAACCAUAUCUCUGUCUGUGUCUACUCAGUACGGCUGAUCAGUCACUUGUACAACUGCACAUCAUAUUCUAACUCCCAUACCUAAUGCCCUGAUGGUCAAUAUACAAAACAUGUUAUAAUAUAUGGUGAAGGAAGGAUGAUGUAAUCAGGGUUGCCAAGGGAAGUUAAAGAUGGCAUAAACACAGACAUGUAUACAUAUAGCAAAAAUUACUGGGAAGUUAAAGGAUUGGGAAACUUUUUAAAAACCAACAGAAGGCACCUAAAGCUAGCCAAUAAUAUAAGAUGCCAAAAGUUUUUUCAGAUGAGAUGAGAGUAGAUAUUGCACCACUGGAAAAUGAGGCUAGGAGACAGUAAUGGCAGAUAAAGUUUCUCCAACACCGUCAGGCUGAACAACCUGUAGUUCCUUGGCUUGUACAGGUCGAUUUCCACUAAUCCGACUACCUGUAAUCCUGUUCCUUCGAUAUCCGCACUGAUUUCAGAUUUUCUGCACAACUAUAAUUUCAAAUUUUCCGGGCUACCGUACCAAUCUGCUGUGCAUUGUUUUGGUUACCCUAGAUCUGUUCACGUGUUCGCGCGCUCUUGUAAGCUCAGACAGCCAAUUCCUGCUUGUUUUCCUGCAUUUAAUAUUUGCUUAAGGUGCGACCACCCGGCACCCUCCCAUCUCACCCACCAGUGGCGGUGGAGUUGGUACGCACUGGGUCAGUCCGUCUGCUGGCAGUCGUGCACUGCCCUCCAGUGUCACCCAGCCGGCGCUCCAUUCUCUCCUGCCUGUGACCUCAUAUCAGAUGUGGUGACCCGCUGAACUUAAGCAUAACACUGAGCGGAGGGAAAAAAACUAACAAGGUUUCCCUCAGUACCUGCGAGUGCAAUGUAGUCUUUGGGGUAACUGCAAGUCUGUGUCUUUGCUAUCACUUAGCUCACGCUUGAGUGCUGGUAGUGGAUGCACUUUAUUUUUUGCUGGUGGGGAGGGGUUCUAACAUUUAACUCUUCAUUUUUUGGGGCACUCCUCUGUUUUCGUAGAUGGUUGUGAAGAAAAAGCAUUUCAGGAUGUAUAUUGUAUACAUUUCUGACAUUAAAUGAAUCUUUGAAUCCUUUGAUAUUUUAAGAAGUAUGAUGAGGUGGUUAGCUAUGGCUAAAUGUGACCUUCUGUAAUUCAGCAUUUUCACUAAUCCGGCACUCCUCAGGUCCCGGAUUAUAGAAGGUCGACCUAUACUUCCUCCAUUUGUGAAGCAUUAGAAAAGAGCUCUAGGAGAAUUGGAGUCAGGAGGAUUCAUGAAAUGUCAUUGGCAAGUAAGACAAGAUCCCAAGGCAUUCUUCUAUACCUGUGUCAAGGACUGAGGCAGAGCCCUCCCCACCAUUGAAUACAUUUACAUGGAAGCUCCCACAUGAAAGCAACUUUGGAGCUACAACUUUUGUAAGUUUUUUUCACUUCCAUAGCUUGUCUUUUGCACGUUGGUUGUUGGUCUGUCUGCAUCUAUAGUUUUAAGUUCUAUUUUCUUGUAAAUGCCUGUAAGAAAAUGAAUCUUAAGGUAAUAUGUUAAUAUUGUACUUUAUAAUUUUACUUCUGAGUUUGGUGCUUGGAGUGGAAGACAUGGGCAAGAUGCAAUUUGUGUACUUCAUCUUUACCAAGGAACCAGAUGUGGAGUGCUAAUAUUCCAGGGACAUAUGACCUUACGAGAAAGGUAGUGUUGGAUCUCUUAAAAUGUUAAGACAUUCAGCAAAGAACAAUGUCUACAGUAUCAUUAGUUGCUGUGGUGGCAAGAUCGGUUUGAAGACCUCUUAAUU